GACGAACGCUGGCGGCGUGCCUAAUACAUGCAAGUCGAGCGGACGAAUCGAAAGCUUGCUUUUGAUUCGUUAGCGGCGGACGGGUGAGUAACACGUGGGCAACCUGCCCUGUAGACGGGGAUAACACCGAGAAAUCGGUGCUAAUACCGGAUAACACGAAAUGUCGCAUGACGUUUCGUUGAAAGACGGCGCAAGCUGUCGCUAUAGGAUGGGCCCGCGGCGCAUUAGCUAGUUGGUGAGGUAACGGCUCACCAAGGCGACGAUGCGUAGCCGACCUGAGAGGGUGAUCGGCCACACUGGGACUGAGACACGGCCCAGACUCCUACGGGAGGCAGCAGUAGGGAAUCUUCCGCAAUGGACGAAAGUCUGACGGAGCAACGCCGCGUGAGCGAAGAAGGCCUUCGGGUCGUAAAGCUCUGUUGUUAGGGAAGAACAAGUAACGCAGUAACUGGCGUUACCAUGACGGUACCUAACGAGAAAGCCACGGCUAACUACGUG
Molecule: ribosomal RNA, 498 nt
Filed under: uncultured bacterium
Lineage: Bacteria
Description: partial 16S ribosomal RNA
Rfam family: Bacterial small subunit ribosomal RNA
Source: RNAcentral